CACGUAGGCACCAAGCGUUGUCCGGAAUUAUUGGGCGUAAAGAGCUCGUAGGCGGUUUGUCGCGUCGAAUGUGAAAACCCGGGGCUCAACCCCGGGCCUGCAUUCGAUACGGGCAGACUAGAGUUCGGUAGGGGAGUCUGGAAUUCCUGGUGUAGCGGUGAAAUGCGCAGAUAUCAGGAGGAACACCGGUGGCGAAGGCGGGACUCUGGGCCGAUACUGACGCUGAGGAGCGAAAGCGUGGGGAGCAAACAGG
This 253-nucleotide ribosomal RNA is filed under the name uncultured bacterium. RNAcentral's name for it is "partial 16S ribosomal RNA". It matches the Rfam family "Bacterial small subunit ribosomal RNA", at positions 524 to 776 of the family's 1533-position model. The record is from RNAcentral.